Long non-coding RNA from Dunckerocampus dactyliophorus (ringed pipefish), 2115 nucleotides. RefSeq lists it as uncharacterized. The record is from RefSeq and is a predicted model, not a curated record. The transcript has 3 exons. NCBI's taxonomy places the organism in Eukaryota, Metazoa, Chordata, Actinopteri, Syngnathiformes, Syngnathidae.
AAUUGUGACUUUCCUAUCACACAGUUAUGACUAUCUCAUAAUUGCGACUUUUGUCUCACAAUUAUAACUUACCAUUGCGAUAUUUUUUGUCCUUUCAGUGUAGGAAACGGGCUUCCACAGAGCUCAUUAGGUUAUUGUGAUUAUUUUGAUCCACCCUCUCUCCGUCUCUGAAGAUCUCCAUUAGGCACAAAUUAGCAAAGGGGCAUUGUGCCACGAGCAGAAAAUCUUUAUACUAUUGAUUUUGUUGCUCGUGUUCAUUGACGAGCGAGCGAAAGGGAGGGAGAGAGAGAGCCUGCUUCCUUUGUGGGAUUCUACCGUUUGAAUGACACACUUUUGCCGGCAUUGAAUAAGAUGUUGCUCUUCCCUAUUGAUUGUGUAGCUUUACCGCUGAUCCGAGAUCUGCCUCGCACUACAUUUUGCAGCUUCAAUUCAUUUUGGAUGUGUGCUAAGAGAUAAUAAGACCUUUGGAAAUGCAAAAUGGCCCAAGUCAUCUUUUCAACAACGAUUAGUCUCACAUUAAAGACGUUGGGAGGACUUUUCAAUUUGACGACCAUUAGACGCGUUAUUGAAUAAUAGAUGAGCACCUUCUUCUUUAUCUUCCCUCAUCUGCAUGUCCUUGUCUUGUUCUCCUCCCAUCUUCACUACACUGGAGGCUUUCCAUCCUGGAUUUUUCCCCCAUCAAGCUCCCAGUCUUCAAUCCACAGGAGAAUGUGUCUGCCUGGAUCCGAGCCCGCUUCAUACUCUUGAGGGUUCAGAUAAAGUCCUUGGAAACCGCAUCCACAAAGUUGGGCGCCGACAUGAGGAUGGAGAUGGUGCAUAUGAUGUUGAAGACGCUGAACGCCACCAAGCACAGGCGGUCGAUGACGGCGCCCGCAAACUUCCACUGGUCGGCCACGCACUCCGCCUCGUCCUGCUCCCUGAAGCGGUCCGCCAAGUAGCGCACCUCCUCCAGGAUGGCCUGAAGCAGUGGGUCCCCGUGACCUGGGACUUGGCACACGCCGCCCACCCCGCCUCCAAACCCCCCACCGCUGGAGACAGUGCUGGGGCAUCCUACGGCAUCCAUGUUGGGACUAGGGGAGCUGCAUAGGUGGGGCGGCAGGUGCGGAGGCGGACUCCGGGGUCCUGUGGGGAUGUUGUUACUCCUCUGGGGGGCGUCCACGAGCACCGAGGGUUCCUCCAUCGGCUGGAAGCCCAUGUAAAGAAGGUUUCCGUUGUUGGCGCUGGAUUGGAGGUGCGGGUGCCCCGCGUGGAGGGGGGCGAGGUUCUGAGGGUGCAGCUGGUGCAGGGCGGGGUCGCCGUGGUUCGGGAUGCUACCGCUAUGGGAGCCCGAGGAACAGCGGCGUAGGUGGGGGGCGCAGGGAGGCCUCUCAGGUUUCUCUGUCUCGCCGGGGCGCUUCAUCCGCAGGAACCACGCCACCCACUGAAGCAGCACCAGCUUCACCUGUGGACACAGAACACAACGAUGGGCUCCUUUCCCCAUUUACCCAAAAUUUUGGUUCAUUUUCAUCCUUUAAUCAUCUUUAUCAUGCAUGUCUGGGUGGUUUAUUUGUUCAUAGAAUGCACACACAACGGUGAACAACUCCGUUUCUGUCUCCCCCCUUCCUCCUCAAGCAGUGUGCCCGGUGCUGAUGAGGCGUUCAAGCGCACUACGUAUUUCUGAGUGUUAGGUGACUGUCUUUUUUAUUGAGUACGGCUGUAAAAAAGUUGUAAGCACCGGUGUUUUCAUUAAAAAAAAAAAAAAAAACACUGUCGUAUUCAAGAAAAAUAAGAAUAAUCAAGAAGGUAGCGUCUGUUACAAUAGGAUUGUUAUGUAAAGGUUCCUACAGGUUGCAGGGGGAAUGAUUUAAGGGAGACACAUUACAGAAAGUGAGCUGGGCCAGUGCUGGAAAAUCUUGCGCAGGAUGAAAGGUACAAAUAAUAAUAAUAACAUCAGUGAUCAAUUAUUUUGUGAUCUUCACCACGCAGUUUCAUUUCCUGUACAGCAGAGUGAUGUUGCUGGGUGCUGCUUCCUAAUGCACACGAAGAUGUCCUCUGCAAAGGCAAAAAAGGUGGCUCAUUUAAGGUGGGCGGAUGCUGCAUCCUGCAUCACUGCACCUGCUGUGUUCACUGUUGCAG